RNAcentral lists this ribosomal RNA (486 nucleotides) under uncultured bacterium. RNAcentral describes it as "partial 16S ribosomal RNA". It matches the Rfam family "Bacterial small subunit ribosomal RNA", at positions 30 to 507 of the family's 1533-position model. The record is from RNAcentral.
AUUGAACGCUGGCGGCAUGCCUUACACAUGCAAGUCGAACGGCAGCACGGGUGCUUGCACCUGGUGGCGAGUGGCGAACGGGUGAGUAAUACAUCGGAACAUGUCCUGUAGUGGGGGAUAGCCCGGCGAAAGCCGGAUUAAUACCGCAUACGAUCCACGGAUGAAAGCGGGGGACCUUCGGGCCUCGCGCUUUAGGGUUGGCCGAUGGCUGAUUAGCUAGUUGGUGGGGUAAAGGCCUACCAAGGCGACGAUCAGUAGCUGGUCUGAGAGGACGACCAGCCACACUGGGGCUGAGACACGGCCCAGACUCCUACGGGAGGCAGCAGUGGGGAAUUUUGGACAAUGGGCGAAAGCCUGAUCCAGCAAUGCCGCGUGUGUGAAGAAGGACUUCGGGUUGUAAAGCACUUUUGUCCGGAAAGAAAUCCUUGACUCUAAUACAGUCGGGGGAUGACGGUACCGGAAGAAUAAGCACCGGCUAACUACGUG